RNAcentral lists this ribosomal RNA (440 nucleotides) under uncultured bacterium. Its description in RNAcentral is "partial 16S ribosomal RNA". It matches the Rfam family "Bacterial small subunit ribosomal RNA", at positions 338 to 795 of the family's 1533-position model. The record is from RNAcentral.
CCUACGGGAGGCAGCAGUGGGGAAUAUUGCACAAUGGGGGAAACCCUGAUGCAGCGACGCCGCGUGAGUGAAGUAGUAAUUCGUUAUGUAAAGCACUAUCAGCAGGGAAGAAAAUGAUGGUACCUGAGUAAGAAGCCCCUGCUAACUACGUGCCAGCAGCCGCGGUAAUACGUAGGGGGCAAGCGUUAGCCGGAUUUACUGGUUGUAACGGGAGCGGAGACGGCAGUGCAAGUCUGGCGUGAAAGGCGGGGGCUCAACCCCCGGACUGCUCUGGAAACUGGACGGCUGGAGUGCAGGAGAGGUAAGUAGAAUUCCUAGUGUAGCGGUGAAAUGCGUAGAUAUUUGGAGGAACACCAGUGGCGAAGGCGGCUUACUGGACUGUAACUGACGUUGAGGCUCGAAAGCGUGGGGAGCAAACAGGAUUAGAUACCCGAGUAGUC